GAACCUGGGUGGCAAGGUGGGGAGAUGGGGCAGUGGGGUGUCAGGCGAGGAAACAGGUGACAGAGGCAGAGACGGGGAGCAGCCGGCAGAGAAGAGGUCAGGAAGGGCAUGGAUGUGGUGGGGGGCAGAGGGAGCGGGGAGACAGGCAAGACUACAGUGACCAUAGAGGUACCGUGUCAUGUGGAGUGAGAGGGUGGCAGAUGGGGAGGAAGGGUGACAGGUGGGAGACUGAUUGACAAAGUGGGUGACAGGAGAGGUGACAGCCAGAGAAAGGAAGCUUCGGGAGCAAGGGGUGAGAGGGACUGAAAAAAUAGGAAGAUGAGGCACCACAAGCCAGGGGCAGUCCCGGAGCCCCUUCCCCCUAGACCACCCUUCAGGGUCUGUGUGUGUGAGGCCUGGGUCAACUAGGUGUUAGAAGCCAGUGCGUGCCCCACCCUGAGCUGUCUUCUGUGAUUGCUGGAACAACCUUCAGUCCCUUUUGGGGAUGGGGUCACCUGUACCAGGGCAUGUGAGUUGGCACUGUGCACACGGAGUGUGGGCAUGCGCAGGUGGCCAGGUGGGCUCCCAGCACACAGAUACCCCGUUCCCCCCUUUCCUUCCCGGCUUGGCCUCCCACACACCAGCUGCCCAGAACCAGGCAGUGCAGAGCUGGGCGGGGGUGGGGUGGGGAGGUGCGGGGUAUGGGCCUGACACAGACACUGGGCAGGAGGGGGCAUUGGCAGCAGAUCUCUGGAAGGGGCUUGGGGGCCUGGCUUCUUAGGGAGGAAGGGACCAAGGGAAGCCUGUGGGGCUGAGGGACUGAAGCCAUGCAGUGCACCCUCUCCAAUCGUGUCUAAGCCUCAGGCUCCCUCUGCAGUCACUACCCCUGCAAUCUCCCCCUGCCAUCCCUGCAGUGGAGUGGGGCAGGGAUGAGGACACAGUUCCUAACAUCCCAUGAUUUCCCUGCUGUGGGUGGCAGAGCAGGGGCGGGGUGUCCAGGGAAAUGGGAGCUGCUUGGAAAUGUCCUUUUCUUCUUAUAUUUAUCAAGCCCUAUAAUGUGCCAAGCACAGUACUUUGCAUGCAUUCCCUUACCCAUGCUCAGCCCUGAAAUGUAGGUCCUCUUAUUAUCACUCUCAUCCCCGUUUUAGAGUUAAAGAAAUUGACGGUCCAAGAGGUUGACUGAUCUGUUCAGAGUCACAUGGCUUGUGAGUAGUCAAGCAGGAACAUCCCUCCCAGGACUCACUCACACCUAUUCUCCAACUCUGCCUACCUGCUCAAUUCACCUGAUGCUCUGCCAGUGGAUUGCUGAUGUCUCUACAUUGAUUCAGAUUUGCACCCACAUCUGAAAAUGAUCAGCAGGCAGGGACCCUCUGUCAACACAAGUGGAGAAGGAGAUGAAAGAGCCUUGUCUGACACCCUGGAGACUGGGAAACUACCCAGACUGUGUCCUCUCCCUCUUACUAUCCUUAAGGAAGACAAGGAAGACAAUGACAAAUGGACUUUGCAGCAAAACAACACCAACAGCCAACUUGAUGCUCAAGGGAGAACGCUGUGCCUCUUCCUCAUGGUUUCCAGUGCUCUACACAUUCAGAGAAACUUUUCUGGUAAUCAACUAUAGAAACAAUGAGACUGUGCCCAUGGGCGAGACCCCAUCUCUACAAAAAAUACAAAAAUUAGCCAGGUGUAGUGGUGUGCACCUGGAUUCCCCAGCUACUUGGAAGGCUGAGAUGGGAAGAUCACUGGAGCCCCAGAGGUUGAGACUGCAGUGCACCAUGAUCACGCCACUGUACUUCAGCCUCAGUGACAAAGCGAAAGCCUGUUUCAAAAAAAAAAAAAGAGAGAGAGAAAUGGGCAGGUGACGGUGGUUCACACCUGUAAUCCCUGCACUUUGGAAGGCCGAGGCAGGUGGAUCACUUGAGAUCAGGAGUUCGAGACCAGCCUGGCCAACAUGGUGAAACCCCAUCUCUACUAAAAAUGCAAAAAUGAGCAAGGCAUGGUGGUGGAUGCCUAUAAUCCCAGCUACUCAGAAGGCUGAGGUGGGAGAAUCACUUGAAUCCCAGGAGACGGAGGUUGCAGUGAGCUGAGAUCGCGCCACUGCACUCCAGUUUGGGCAACAGAAUGAGGCUCCAUCUCAAGAAACAGAAAAAGGGAAAUGAUCCCUGAAAGUAUACUCUUUUGUUGGAGUUUUUAUUUGCAUUUUGCUAAUGAUUAGUGAUGUCGAGCACCUUUUCAUGUGCUUAUUGGCUUUUUUUUUUUUUUUUUUUUGGAGCAAUACCCAUUCAAGUCCUUUGUUCAUUUUUGGGUUGCUUGGUUUUUGUCGUUGGUGUUGAGUUUGAGGAGCUGCCUCUAUAUCCUGGAUAUCAAUUCCUUAUCAGAUAUAUAACUUGCAAAUAUUUUCUCCCAUUCUGCCAAUUACCUUUUGAAUUUGUUGAUAUUGUUUUUUUGAUGAACAAAGUUCUUAAGUUUUCAUCAAGGCUGAUUUGUCUAUUUUGUUGUUAUUGUUGCCCCCGUCUUUGGUGUCAGAUCCAAAAAAAUUAUUGCCAAAUCCAAUGUUGGGAAGCUUUUGCCAUAUGUUUUCUUCUAAGAGUUUUAAAAGUUUAGGUCUUACAUUUAGGUCUUUGAUCCAUUUUGAGUUAAUUUUUGUAUAUAGUGUUAGGUAAGGGUCCAACUUUAUUCUCUUACAUGUGGAUAGCUGGUUUUCCCAGCACUACCUGUUUAAAAAACAAAAAUCAAACAAAAACCUGUCCUUUCCCCAUUAAAUGGUCUUGGCAUUCUUUUCAAAAAUCAGGCUGGAGUGCAGUGGCAUGAUCUCGGCUCAUUGCAACCUCCACCUUCCAGAUUCAAGUGAUUCUCCUGCCUCAGCCUCCCAAGUAGCUGAGAUUACAGGUGUGCACCA
Symphalangus syndactylus (siamang) is the source of this 2875-nucleotide long non-coding RNA. RefSeq lists it as uncharacterized. The record is from RefSeq and is a predicted model, not a curated record. NCBI's taxonomy places the organism in Eukaryota, Metazoa, Chordata, Mammalia, Primates, Hylobatidae.